RNAcentral lists this unclassified non-coding RNA (206 nucleotides) under uncultured fungus. Its description in RNAcentral is "sequence contains ITS1, 5.8S rRNA gene". The stretch from base 158 to 206 matches the Rfam family "5.8S ribosomal RNA", at positions 1 to 49 of the family's 154-position model. Lineage: Eukaryota; Fungi. The record is from RNAcentral.
UCUCCGUUGGUGAACCAGCGGAGGGAUCAUUACAGAGUGCCCCUGGCUCUGCAACCCCUGUGAACAGUACGCUGUUGCCUCGGCAGGCUCGCCUGCCGGAGGCCCCAUCAUACUCUGUUAGUCGCCGUCCUUCUGACUGGAUUUUUAAAUUGAUAAAAACUUUCAACAACGGAUCUCUUGGCUCCGGCAUCGAUGAAGAACGCAGC